ACACAUCAGUGAGAAUAAUCAGCAAAAAAGGCCCCAGUUUUCAAGAGAGCAUAAAGAAUAGAGUCCAGAUUGGCCCUGUUCCAGAGUAAUGGGCACAUCACGGUGAGAAGAGAGGAGGAUGAAGUCAUUACCCAUCAUGCCUAGUGCCUACAGCACAAGCCUGUGGGGGAAGCGUUAUGAUCUGGGGCUGUUUCAGCUGGUGAAAUGAGUUCAGGCUGAA
Long non-coding RNA from Sphaeramia orbicularis (orbiculate cardinalfish), 220 nucleotides. RefSeq lists it as uncharacterized. The transcript has 3 exons. The record is from RefSeq and is a predicted model, not a curated record. Lineage: Eukaryota; Metazoa; Chordata; Actinopteri; Kurtiformes; Apogonidae.